This 497-nucleotide ribosomal RNA is filed under the name uncultured bacterium. Its description in RNAcentral is "partial 16S ribosomal RNA". It matches the Rfam family "Bacterial small subunit ribosomal RNA", at positions 28 to 507 of the family's 1533-position model. The record is from RNAcentral.
GAUGAACGCUGGCGGCGUGCCUAAUACAUGCAAGUCGAGCGAACGGACGAGAAGCUUGCUUCUCUGAUGUUAGCGGCGGACGGGUGAGUAACACGUGGAUAACCUACCUAUAAGACUGGGAUAACUUCGGGAAACCGGAGCUAAUACCGGAUAAUAUUUUGAACCGCAUGGUUCAAAAGUGAAAGACGGUCUUGCUGUCACUUAUAGAUGGAUCCGCGCUGCAUUAGCUAGUUGGUAAGGUAACGGCUUACCAAGGCAACGAUGCAUAGCCGACCUGAGAGGGUGAUCGGCCACACUGGAACUGAGCCACGGUCCAGACUCCUACGGGAGGCAGCAGUAGGGAAUCGUCCGCAAUGGGCGAAAGCCUGACGGAGCAACGCCGCGUGAGUGAUGAAGGUCUUCGGAUCGUAAAACUCUGUUAUUAGGGAAGAACAUAUGUGUAAGUAACUGUGCACAUCUUGACGGUACCUAAUCAGAAAGCCACGGCUAACUACGUG